RNAcentral lists this ribosomal RNA (447 nucleotides) under uncultured bacterium. RNAcentral's name for it is "bacterial SSU rRNA". It matches the Rfam family "Bacterial small subunit ribosomal RNA", at positions 355 to 825 of the family's 1533-position model. The record is from RNAcentral.
UGGGGAAUCUUGGACAAUGGGCGCAAGCCUGAUCCAGCCAUGCCGCGUGAGUGAAGAAGGCCUUCGGGUUGUAAAGCUCUUUUACCAGGGACGAUAAUGACGGUACCUGGAGAAUAAGCCCCGGCAAACUUCGUGCCAGCAGCCGCGGUAAUACGAAGGGGGCUAGCGUUGUUCGGAAUUACUGGGCGUAAAGCGCACGUAGGCGGAUUGUUAAGUCAGAGGUGAAAUCCCGGAGCUCAACUUCGGAACUGCCUUUGAUACUGGCUAUCUUGAGUACGGAAGAGGUAUGUGGAACUCCGAGUGUAGAGGUGAAAUUCGUAGAUAUUCGGAAGAACACCAGUGGCGAAGGCGACAUACUGGUCCGUUACUGACGCUGAGGCUCGAAAGCGUGGGGAGCAAACAGGAUUAGAUACCCUUGUAGUCCCUGAGCGGGCUGGCAAGGCGCAU